Molecule: long non-coding RNA, 1933 nt
Filed under: Rattus norvegicus (Norway rat)
Lineage: Eukaryota; Metazoa; Chordata; Mammalia; Rodentia; Muridae
Description: long non-coding RNA NONRATT013907
Source: RNAcentral
CUGCUGACCAAAAGUUAAGAGCAGACAUAAGAGUGACACGCUAGCUAAGCCAAGCUUUUCUCUAGAGGAGAAAAUGAAGAUGGUGAUAGGUUGACUUGAGUGGAGGAAGAGAAGAUUUGUCAUUUUCAAACUAAAUCCGCGAAAAUAUUUUCUCAUUAUUCUUAUCUUCUUAUGGAGUUUUUGCCCUUGUAUCUAAGUAAAGAAAAAGAUAUGACUACCAAAUAUUUAGGAUACUUAGAAAUAUUUUAUUACUACAUGUGAAUCUGAUAUUCUUUUCUCUUGCAUUUUUAUUUACAUCUUAAAUGUUAUCCCAUUUCUCUGUUUCCCCUCUAGAAACUGGCUAUCGCACUCCCACCCCUGCUUCUAUGAGGGUGUUCCCUCACCCUCCCACCUCCCCACCCUGACAUUGCCCUACACUGGGGCAUCAAGCCUUCACAGGACCAAGGGCCUCUCCUCCCAUUGAUACCUGACAAGGCCAUCCUCUGCUACAUAUGCAAUGGAGCCAUAGGUCCAUCCCUGUGUUCUCUUGGGAUGGUAGUUUAGUCCCUGGGACCUCUGGGGGGGGGGUCUGGCUGUUUGAUACUGUGUUCUUCUUAUGAAUCUGAUAUUCUUAAUAAAGUAUUGCUUUAGACUUUUCAGCGUAACAUUUAGAGGUUUGUUAUAGAAGGUUUCUUUGUACCAGGGUUCAUGGCUGAGAUAUUUCAGAAUUUCAUAUGUUAAAAUAUCAUUAAUAAAAGGAAUAAAGGAAGAACCAAGGUAAAACAGUCCUGAAAUGAUGGAACUAUUUAAAAGAAUGCCAACUCUUAGAGAAUACCCAUGGUCUAAAUGUACUUUUCUGCUUCCUUUCCUUUCUGCGGGGUCCUGAUCAUUAUGGCUAGGACCCCUCGGCUGACUUGGUCUUUCAAGAUCCUUAGUAGGUCAAACAGGAGCCAGUUUGUCUGGCCUUAACUGACUGGAUCCCCUAUUUAACCAGCAACUCUGGUCCUCAAGCCAAACCUUGUAUAUUAAGGGACACAGUCAUGUAUGCUUACUGCUUUGUUCCAUAUGAUUCUUGUUCUUCAAUACUCAGAAGAAUCAGUUGUAGGAAGGGAAGGGCCAGUAAUAAGAACUUCAGGUCAUACAGCUCUGUGUAUACAAAGCUUAACAAACUUGAGUAACUCCCAAGGUCCAAGUUACAUUCCCAAGAAAGGCACAACAGAAAUUUUCUCUCAUAAACACAUACUGUUCUCAUAAACUAAGCAUAAUACAUUUGCUCCUAUCCUGGGUCACAUGUCAUGGUAAGAUGUAUAGUAUGGCCAUCACAGGAAUUGUACUAGGACAGUUAAAGGACAGUCAGUCACUUUGCGGUCACUGUGUUUGACUGAAAAUGUAUAAUGUAUCUUACUGUUGAAAACAUAUGAGCUCUGUUUCAAUUAGUGUGUCAUCCUGUACUUUGUUCAAGGAAACCAGUUAGAUUCAUCGUAGGAUAGUUCGAGUUGGUUGAAACCCCACGUACAAAUGAAAUUUUAAGUCUAAAAGAUUCUUGUAUUUGAACGUAAGAAGCAUAAACUCUCCUGCUUUACUUUAUGUGCAGAAAUGAAACGUUCUAACAGUACAGAAGUGCUUCAUGGUAUGUCAACAGCUUACUUUCUAGUAAUGCUAGCCACCUUUUAAGCCCAGCAUGUUUCUUUUGUCUGCUCUUUAUAAAGAUCUCCGUUUUGUCUAAUGCUUUAAAUGUAACCCAAGACUUUAAGUGUGGAUUAUUUAAUGUGCUCCUGAAGAGGUUGUGGUUCCUGACAAAUGCUGUCAUUAUUUGUUGUGUCAAAUUCCAGUGGCUUCAGAAAUCAUAGCAUCCCAUAAUUUUGUGGUUUCUGGGUUUGCGCAGUGUUGUUGACAACUGUACUUAGUGAUUGUUCUGCACACUUUUCAAAUAAAAACACGUUUCUAUCAAGUA